Numida meleagris (helmeted guineafowl) is the source of this 1192-nucleotide long non-coding RNA. RefSeq lists it as uncharacterized. The transcript is spliced from 5 exons. NCBI's taxonomy places the organism in Eukaryota, Metazoa, Chordata, Aves, Galliformes, Numididae. The record is from RefSeq and is a predicted model, not a curated record.
AGGGACUGUACUCUUCUUGAGCUGUUACAAGUCAUCAGAAAGGGUUCUGACACGGCUGGCACACUUGCAGUAGGACUGCUUCACUGGAAAAAUCCAUAUGUGUAUGGGAACGCUCACCUCCCUCUCAUCUUAUCUGAAGAUGCCUGUUGUCCUGCAUUUCAACGUUUUCCUACACAAAAUGACUUAUAUCCUUUAUCCUGUCCAGCUUCACUUUCUAUCACUCCAGUGCCUUCAUACAGCAGUAGCAGUCAAGAAACUUUAAGUCAGUACUCUACAGAAGCCAAAAAUCCUGGGAUCCGGUACUUCAAAUACCAUUCCUAAUGUCUUCUCUGACAGCAACACCUGUAAAGCAGGAGUGCUAGUGCAAUUGCUAAGCAAUUCAGUCAUUCUUCUAGUAUUCACUGCAUACCUCUCAAAAUUGGGAUGGAUGCUUGUGGGCUGGUGGAGAUGCAGGCUGCUGACCCAGCUGGCAAUGUCUUGUGGUUGAGAAGUCUGAGAAGUGUUUAUUUCUGGGGAAAAUCCUCAGACAGAGUUCUAAGUCCACCGAUGUGCUUGUGCAUGAAUCCCUCUGACCAGAGUGCAAGAGCCCUCCUUGAUUUUCAGUUUGAAAUUCAAGAUUGUAUGUAAACUCCGUUGGAAUCAAUGGGAAGACUGACUUGUACUGCAGUAUGAGGUGAUGUAAUCCAGGAUGAGCAAAACUUUUACUCAGAUUUGACCACUUCUUCAAACAUAUUUUAGAAGCUCUCCUUGCUGCCUCCUGUGUGUGAUCAUGCAUUUUCUUUUGGUAUUGUGUUUAUAACUAAGCACUCUUUUGCUGUCACACAACUGCUAUCUCUCUGCACUGCCUAUCCUUCCUUUGUCCAGUUGUUUCCUACCCCCUUGCUUCCUUUCCUCUUAGAAAUAAACUUCAGAAAUCCCCUGGAAGAGACGCUUAUUUCUUGUUGUUGGUAGAGAAGAAAAAUGCACAUGCAGGAUACUAUUUUGUGGCUACAGAAAUAAUUGCUGCUUUGCAAAUGACAAGUUCUCAAAGCCCAGUCAGCUUUUGCAUGUCAAGAAUAAAAAGUGGAAACACACCUCAUGUACAAGAAGCUGCAUACUUCUUUCUUACUUUAAUACUUCCCCUAGAUGCUUCAUUUCUCUGUUGCCAGAAAUCCUGUCAUUCACAUGCUUGGAAAACUUCGGUCUUUAAGAU